Mercenaria mercenaria is the source of this 3423-nucleotide long non-coding RNA. RefSeq lists it as uncharacterized. The record is from RefSeq and is a predicted model, not a curated record. The transcript has 2 exons. NCBI's taxonomy places the organism in Eukaryota, Metazoa, Mollusca, Bivalvia, Venerida, Veneridae.
UGUUAUGAAUGACAAUAUUGACGCCAUUAAGGAUAUGAGUAAGAUUAUUUCAAUCCUCCCACUCAAUUCAUUUCCUCGCAAAGGAUUAAGUAUAUUAAAGCUAAAAGUUGCAAAUUUCAAACACGUUAAAGAUAAAAGGGAACAGGCAUUAUUCUCAUUAGAAUAACUGAUAGUGAUUACAAGUAUGAAUCAUUUUCUGAAGGAACCUGGCGUACUGCGGAUGAAUAGAGAGUGUAAUAUGCGUCCUCACAAAAAAGCAAAUUGAAAAGAAGCUGGAAGAUAUAAAAUAUGUUUAUUUUCACAAAAUAAAUGACUGUUAAAAUCCUUUAAGACCACUUUGUAUGAAUCGUUUAGCCAAUAUCAACUUAACCUUUUAAAUAAAACUACGAAGGAGUUAAAUGCUUCAGCUGUAGUAUUUGUUACAGUAAGAAGAAAUAAUGAAGAACAAACUUGUUCCGUCAUAACUGAAGUCCAAAGCAAAGUUUUCUUAAAUUACUCUCUAUAUCUAUUCGAGAAGUUCUCACAAGUUGGUCAUAUAUCGUAAAAAUCACUUAAACCUCUUAAAUAUAGCAAACUUUUAGGCUCGUAAAAUGUCCAGUUUUACAUUAUUCAUUUGAACGAAUUUCAUUUCAAAGGGAAAAUACAAUAAGGCUUUGGGAACAAUGAAGACGUUUCCAUGAGGAUGCAUUCAAGGUCAUGACUGUCCGGUGUAUAUCGUGAGAGACUUAAAACAAGUCAAACAACUUGACAUCACUCAGUAAAUGCAAGAUAACAAUUGAGGUCUUUAUUUCCUGAAAGAAUUUUGCAAAUUUGUUGUAGUAGAUCUACUUAACUUGAAAAUGAUCGUAAUUUUGCUCAAACAUUUCAUAUCAUCCAAGUAAAUAUUUCAUUGAAACUAGCAAUUUGUAAACGGAUAGGCUAAAAGAACAAGAAUUUCUACAUUAAGAAACCUUCCAAAAUAGAAAAAGUGGAAAUCACAGGUCAGGUCGCCUAACACGACAUAAACGAACAUGUUGCAGGCUGUGUUUGACUGAGCCUGUUCAUGGAAGGUAGAGGUAAUGCAAGCUACAGUCCACGCCCUCUAGCCCGGGUUGAGCAGAACUCAACAUUUACACAUGUUACACAUGUUCUAAGAAACAGAAUAUAAUUGAGAGACAUUCGCAGAUGUAUUCAUACGAAAGUGCUAAUUAAUGGAACCUUCAAUGAUGCACUAGGCGCAAUGCUAUGAAAAACUGCGUAUUGUACCCAGAUAAAAUAAUGGCUUUGAUCUUAACGAGAAAACAAUGGAGAAGAACAAAACAAAAUGGAAUUUAGAGAGGGGAUCUGAGGUUAUCACAAACUGCAAAAAGAUACAAUUAAAGAGUAGGUACCAUAUCAAAGGGGUUAUUAAACAAAACCGAAAGAUGUUCAAGCUGAAAACUUAAACAGAACACUAACACAACGGAAAUGUCGUGGUGAACGAUCUGAAGAGAUCGAAAUCAAAAUAGCUUUAUGACUUUGCUCCAAUGAGUAAUUUCCUUUUUAUUCAUUUACAAUAGACAAAGAACUACAAAAUGAAAUAUUCUUCCGUGACAAAAAUGCCUCAGUUUCCUGACUGGUCAUAACUUUCUGAAUAGAAAAAGUCGCUUUAUGGUUAAACUCAAGUAAAUGCAUUUAGGCAUAAAAAUAGUCAAAAUAUACUCAAAAGUAAUAAUAUUAGUGAUAAUAAUUUUCUUUGGUCUGGCUGCAAUAUGCAAUGUAAUUAUCAUAUUAAAGGAUUUUAAGUUCCUUUUUAAAACAAAAAUGACAUAAUAAAUAUUUGCAACACAUUGUGAAAUAUAUUUGCGAUAAAUGUAGGAACACCCUGUUUCGAGGAAACCUAAACUUUUGCGGCGGCUGAAUCAAAAUGAAAACAGAAGGGCAGUCGAUAUUUCUUCUUCUUCUAGUGAGGUUUACAGCCACAGAAAGCACAUCGAUAGAGAAAAAGAAACAAUGCAAAGUACAAAUGAUUCAUAAUCAGAUGGCUCUAAACUGCAGUCAUCAAAACUUGCCAUAUAUUCCGAAGACUGAAAAUUAAGUCAUGUACUUGGUAUUUAGUUACAAUGAUUUAAGAAACGUCUCAUUUGAAACAUUUGAAAAUGUAAGCGAUCCAAAUAGUCUGACAAACCUUUUCCUUGAUCAUAACAAUAUUCAAAACGUUUCAAAAACGGCUCUAGGUGCGUUUCAAAAUUUGAAAUACCUGUAUCCGUCCUACAAUCCGAUACAGUAUGAAAAUAUGAAAAAUCUGUUAGUUGAACUGUCUAAAUUGAAGUUUCUUUCUCACUUUGGCAUGAAUUGAAUCGGUACCAUAACGAUUAAAAAAGAUUUGUUUUCCUUAAUGCGAAAAAAAAACAGGAUUAAAAUGCUAGGUGUCAGAUUUUACAACAUAUUUGUUUGAAAGUUUUGUACUUAAGUCACAAUCAGAUUGAAAUUAUAAAACUUUCUAAACAUAAAAAGUUGUUUCAUUUAUACCUUGAUACCAAUAAGUUUAAAUCAUUGCCAGACUUUUCAGUCGAUGGAAGUGAAAAGGAUUGCUAUCUCCCAAACCUUGAGCUUCUCAGUGUCAAAAGUAAUGAUAUAACAGAAAUUGAUUUCGAUAAUUUUAAAUGUUUAUUGAAAUUGAAAACACUUGAACUCGAUCAUAAUCCUAUAAAAAUAUUACAAAAUAACCUCUUUCAUAAACUACCAAAACUUGAGUUACUGACGCCUAGAUAUCUACAUGCAGACAGUCUAACAGUCAAGCCAUUAGCUUCAAAUCAUCUUCACUAAGAUAUUUACAAUUCGAAUUUAGUAAACCUGCAAGAGAACUGUUCCUAUCCUUCAAUGCCAUGUUUAAAUAUGUGCAAAAUUUGAGAAAUUUAUCAUUCGGACUUGUAAGUUGGCGACAAUUAACUAACCAGCAAUUCUCAGCAUUUUUAACCGCUCGAUAACAUUAAGUCUUUUCAGUGUUUUGGAUGUGAGAUUUCGCAAGAUCCUAAAGUCAUUUUAAAUCAUAUGGAACAAGCAGUUUAUGUAAGCCUUCAUUCAAGUCAAAUGACACGGUUAACUGAUAAAACAUUUAAAGAAAACAAGCAUUUGAGAUAUCUCGAAUUAAGAUAUAAUGAUAUUGCGCAUAUACAAGAGUCGGCCCUACCAAUUUCACUUCUGGAUAAUUUACAUUCACUAGAUCUUAGUCAAAAUCCUUUCUUAUGUGACCUUGAAUGGCUGAUCAACUGGAUGAAACAAAACAAGAUAAAAAUGUGAUUCGAACGACUUUAAUUUGAUUUUUGUUUUAUUUAACCAUGUCAGACUGCACGUGCAAUCUCAAGGAAAAGGUCGCCAUUUAUUUAUUGAGCCAGCGAUAUUCAUAUGAAAACUAACGAUUUUUUCUUUCUUUUCGAAGUACAUAAUAAAUCGUAAUAUAUA